Molecule: ribosomal RNA, 422 nt
Filed under: Enterobacter hormaechei
Lineage: Bacteria; Pseudomonadati; Pseudomonadota; Gammaproteobacteria; Enterobacterales; Enterobacteriaceae
Description: partial 23S ribosomal RNA
Rfam family: Bacterial large subunit ribosomal RNA
Source: RNAcentral
GGGGAAACCCAGUGCAAUCCGUUGCACUAUCGUUAACUGAAUACAUAGGUUAACGAGGCGAACCGGGGGAACUGAAACAUCUAAGUACCCCGAGGAAAAGAAAUCAACCGAGAUUCCCCCAGUAGCGGCGAGCGAACGGGGAGCAGCCCGGAGUCUGAAUCAGCUUGUGUGUUAGUGGAACGGUCUGGAAAGUCCGACGGUACAGGGUGAUAGUCCCGUACACGAAAAUGCACAUGCUGUGAACUCGAAGAGUAGGGCGGGACACGUGGUAUCCUGUCUGAAUAUGGGGGGACCAUCCUCCAAGGCUAAAUACUCCUGACUGACCGAUAGUGAACCAGUACCGUGAGGGAAAGGCGAAAAGAACCCCGGCGAGGGGAGUGAAAAAGAACCUGAAACCGUGUACGUACAAGCAGUGGGAGCCU